UACAGAGGUCCCAAGCGUUGUUCGGAAUUAUUGGGCGUAAAGGGUGCGUAGGCGGUAGGAUAAGUUAGAUGUGAAAUGUCGAUGCUUAACAUCGAACCUGCAUUUAAGACUGUCCUGCUUGAGCGCUAGAGAGGAGUCUGGAAUUUACGGUGUAGCAGUGAAAUGCGUAGAUAUCGUAAGGAAGGCCAGUGGCGAAAGCGAGACUCUGGCUAGAUGCUGACGCUGAGGCACGAAAGCUGGGGGAGCAAACGGG
This 253-nucleotide ribosomal RNA is filed under the name uncultured bacterium. RNAcentral's name for it is "partial 16S ribosomal RNA". It matches the Rfam family "Bacterial small subunit ribosomal RNA", at positions 524 to 776 of the family's 1533-position model. The record is from RNAcentral.